AGAACUCCCAUCAAAAGUCAGUAUUUCUGUGCAUCCAGUGCUGGCAGGGCCAGCCCUUUAAAACCAGAUAAUCCUCAGCUUCCUGGUACAGUAUUUACGACACCGGUGGGGUGAGUUCGCCCACAUUUCAAGGCAGAAUGUAUUCGUCUCUACUUUUUCCUGGCUUUUAUUUGCCAAAAAAACACAUUAGCAGACCCGUGUUACUAACUGCUUCCUGCUUCUGUUGCUUAGUGUUUUGUAGCUACCACGGCUGGCCAACAAGCCGUAAAUCUUGCCUGGUGUUUUGUAACAAAGGAAAAAAUAGAAUGAUUUGUGUUGACUUUUGGUCAUCAUGUAUCAUUAUUGAUUUGAGGGCGGGCGGUGGAGGAAAGCAUACUGUGUUGUUGCUCGCCAGUUCUCCGGGAAGGCGGUGUUAGCAGGCAGUCAGUAGAGGGCAAUAGAGAAAUGCAGUUUGUGGUACCUAAAGGAUUUGAAGCACGGAUUAUGUGUUUACAGAAAAGAAAAAGAAGAAAAGAAGAGCCAGGAGGAUAGGUUGUUCAGUUUACUACUGGAGACCUGACUGUGACAGACCACCAGCACAAAAUUUUCGAAGAGAGCAAAGGCAACCUUCUGCAGCAUCCACGACUCUUUCCUGUUUUCUUCAGAGUUAUGCAGGAUAACUUAGCCAGAACUUACUGAUGACUGCAUAUUCAGUGGACUCGGGAAUGGACUGGGAGAUGCAGGAAGGCACUCUUUGGGAGGAACAGAAGAAGAGGCAUUUCAAAGAUCCUGCAGGUGAAUGAGGUGAUGAUCUACUGUCAGAAUAAAUAAAUCUUACAAAGUGCUGAGACUGCUCAGCCGUUUGCUGUGGUAUCGCUCCCACGUGAGGAACCUGUAUUAUCAUCUUUCUUCAAGUAUCUUCUCUCCUGUGAUCAAAACUCAGUGGUAGUCAAUGUGAAUGCAAGCUGUUCAUCAGAAGCUUGUUUGACACCCAAAGUUUCACUGGAAGGGAAAGAAUGGAACUAAAUCUACAGGGUUCAUUAUUUUGCAGAGGAUGGGUCUCUCUGCCCUACAGGGAUCUAUCUAUCACUGCAUCUUCUCUACAUGGAAGAAGUAAUUGGAUUGUACUUUCUGCACAUGAUCAGAGCUGUUGGCUGGAGAACUAAGCUGUCUAGAGGGUAGGAAACCAUAUGAUGCCUAAGAAAACUAAAUGUCUGAGUCUAACUGCAAGACCUUUUCUUUCUUUCCAUAGAAGAGCUGGAACAUGCUGAACCGCACCCACCAAACUGCACUAGAACUUUGGGAAGGUCCGUGAAGCCUUCAGGAAGCAGAGAAAAACAUAACCACCCAAAUAAUCCCAGGGGCAUUAAGUGUCUGUGCAUAUAUAACACAAUAAGCCAUACUAUGAAUGUGAACAGCUAGGG
Molecule: long non-coding RNA, 1403 nt
Organism: Neopsephotus bourkii (Bourke's parrot)
Lineage: Eukaryota; Metazoa; Chordata; Aves; Psittaciformes; Psittacidae
Exons: 4
Source: RefSeq, a predicted model, not a curated record